UUCUAGGCUCUGCCUUGAAAAGUUCACACAGUGACUUUUUCUGAAUUUUGUCAGUCUGCCCCCAAAUUUUAUACUCUCUGGAGCUGUCUUUAGUUAAAAGUUUUGGGCGCCUGGGUGGC
This is a long non-coding RNA of Lontra canadensis (Northern American river otter), 119 nucleotides long. RefSeq lists it as uncharacterized. NCBI's taxonomy places the organism in Eukaryota, Metazoa, Chordata, Mammalia, Carnivora, Mustelidae. The transcript is spliced from 3 exons. The record is from RefSeq and is a predicted model, not a curated record.